RNAcentral lists this ribosomal RNA (253 nucleotides) under uncultured bacterium. Its description in RNAcentral is "partial 16S ribosomal RNA". It matches the Rfam family "Bacterial small subunit ribosomal RNA", at positions 524 to 776 of the family's 1533-position model. The record is from RNAcentral.
UACGUAGGGACCAAGCGUUGUUCGGAUUUACUGGGCGUAAAGAGCGUGUAGGCGGCUCGGUAAGUCCGCUCUGAAAGCCCGGGGCUCAACCCCGGGAGGCGGGCGGAUACUGUCGGGCUAGAGUCCGGAAGAGGCGAGUGGAAUUCCUGGUGUAGCGGUGAAAUGCGCAGAUAUCAGGAGGAACACCAAUGGCGAAGGCAGCUCGCUGGGACGGUACUGACGCUGAGACGCGAAAGCGUGGGGAGCAAACAGG